Non-coding RNA from Rattus norvegicus (Norway rat), 68 nucleotides. Lineage: Eukaryota; Metazoa; Chordata; Mammalia; Rodentia; Muridae. The record is from Rfam.
GGGGAUUUAGCUCAGUGGUAGAGCGCUUGCCUAGGAAGCUAAGGCCCUGGGUUCGGUCCCCAGCUCCG